This 112-nucleotide ribosomal RNA is filed under the name Caerostris extrusa. The record is from RNAcentral. Lineage: Eukaryota; Metazoa; Arthropoda; Arachnida; Araneae; Araneidae. RNAcentral also lists the same sequence under 1 other name.
AACGGUCAUACCAUGCUGAAUAUACCGGUUCUCGUUAGAUCACCGAAGUCAAGCAUCAUUGGGCGCGGUCAGUACUUGGGUGGGUGACCACCUGGGAACACUGCGUGCCGUU